Molecule: small RNA, 550 nt
Filed under: Pan troglodytes (chimpanzee)
Lineage: Eukaryota; Metazoa; Chordata; Mammalia; Primates; Hominidae
Description: retained intron
Source: RNAcentral
CUGUGCUCUGGGUGGUGAGGCGAGCGUCUGCCCUCCGCAGCACUAACCCCCGUGUGCUAUGGGUCACGUCCUGCAGCUUUGACCCCCCUGGCCCCCUGUCAGCCGGAAUGUCCUGUGAAGUGCUUGUCACCUUCAAGCCGAUGAUAAACAAGGAUCUAGAAGGAAAUAUCUCAUUUUUGGCUCAGACGGGCGAGUUUUCAGUUCCACUGAAAUGUUCAACAAAGAAAUGUUCGAGCAGUCUCCUGACCUACGAAGAUAAAAGCUUGUAUGACAAAGCCGCCACCAGCUUCUCUGAGCAGCAGCUAGAGGGCACGGAGUCCUCCCAGGCGGACAUGCAGAGCCGGAAGGAGCUGGAGAAGCUGGACAAGGAGCAGGAGGAGGAGCAGCCCGCAGAACCAGAGAGAUUAACCACAGUGAUACCUCCCAGCGAAGAGCAGACGGAGAUCACGCUGGGGGAGGUAACAGAAGGGGAAAUUGGCCCCUUCAGCUCCAUCAAGGUGCCCAUCAUCUUCACUCCAGUCGUCCCAGGCGACGUCCAAGCCAGGUUCAA